RNAcentral lists this long non-coding RNA (1034 nucleotides) under Macaca mulatta (Rhesus monkey). RNAcentral describes it as "lncRNA (ENSMMUG00000060282.1)". Lineage: Eukaryota; Metazoa; Chordata; Mammalia; Primates; Cercopithecidae. The record is from RNAcentral.
AUGUUUGGAAAUGGUUUGGGAGAAUACAUGAAAUGCUUGUCCCAUCUCAGGGAGGCCGCAGGAAGAGAUGCACAGCCCAGGGGUAAAUUCUGCAAGGCACCAUCUCUGAUCUCCUGUGGGACCUCGGGGGCUCACUCUCUGCCUCAGACACAGACUCUGGACAAGGCCCACGGUGAGAGAGUUGGGCAGAGCUUGGGCCAUUUCCGCUGCUGUGGACACCAUCCUGGGAAGGACUACAUUUUAGUGACAGCACAGCGGAGUAAGGUGAGCAAGAUGCUGGUGACAGACCCAGCACUUGUGUGGUCUCGGGGAUUACUCAGUCUCUUCAAGCCUCAGUUUCCCUGUCAAAUAUUGAAGAUAAGAACCAUGACUCAAAGUUGAUUGGGUGACAUAGAAAAACAUCCAGUAUGAUGUUGCACAUAGUAGGUGUAAUGGGUUUGUUACCGGAAAGGGGCCCUGAUCCAGACCCCAAGAGUGGAUUCUUGGAUUUCAUGCAAGAAAGACUUGGGGGCAAGCCUAUAAAGUGAAAGCUAGUUUGUAAGGAAAAUAAAGAAGCAAAAGGCACAGCUACUCUGUAGGCAGGGCAGUGUCAUGGGCUCCUCAGUGGAGAAUGCUUAUGGUUGUUUCUUGAUCGUUUGUUGAAAAAGGAGUGAAGGAGGGAGGAAGUGAGGAAGCAGGCAGGGCUGAGAAGUCUCGAGCCCCACCUAAGAUACCUGAGGCAGCUCCCGCACCUCCUGCCAGGGAAAGAGGUCCGGGCCCUGGGUACACGGUGUGGUGAUGGCAGCCUGGGCUUGGGCCAGCUCCAGCAUUUGCCUCCCCUCCCCAGCCUUCCUCCCUGGGGAGUCCCAACUUCACUGCAGCCUUCUAUCCUUCCUGCCCUCCUGAUGAAGUCAGGAGGAGCACGAUGGGCAGAAAAUCCCCUCUGCAGGGAUUCUGAAUUUUCUCCUGAAGGCAAUGGUAUGCUGGUGAAGAACACUAAGCGGGAGGUGGUAUUAGCAGAUUCGCCUCUAUAAAAAUCAUCAGAGGCUUACGAG